This is a non-coding RNA of Oryza meridionalis, 192 nucleotides long. The record is from Rfam. NCBI's taxonomy places the organism in Eukaryota, Viridiplantae, Streptophyta, Magnoliopsida, Poales, Poaceae.
AAAAAGGCAAACCGUAGGUUCCUUGUCAACGAUUGACUGUCCGUUUUAUAUGAACUUUUUAAUUAUUAAUAUUUUCAUUGUUGUUAGUUGAUAAAACAUGAUUAAUACUUUAUGCGUGACUUAUCUUUUUAUUUUUUUUAAAUAAGACGGACGGUCAAACGUUGGACACGGAAACCAGAGUUUGUCUUUUUU